Molecule: ribosomal RNA, 825 nt
Filed under: Triticum aestivum (bread wheat)
Lineage: Eukaryota; Viridiplantae; Streptophyta; Magnoliopsida; Poales; Poaceae
Description: partial small subunit ribosomal RNA
Source: RNAcentral
AUGAAUCUGAUACUUGUUUUCUGCUUGUACGUACGCAGGCCAACGUUCUGGCGAAUCUACAAGGCCAAGGACGUGGAGGAGUUCAAGCCGGACCCCUACCUGGCGACGCUCAUGAACUGCCUGCUCUGGUUCUUUUACGGGCUCCCCAUCGUCCACCCCAACAGCACCCUCGUCCUCACCAUCAACGGCAUCGGCCUUGUUAUCGAGGGCGCCUACAUCAUCAUCUUCAUCAUCUACGCGGCCAACAACACAAGGGUACAUACGUGCAACCCUCCUAAUGCCCCCUCAUCCGGCCUACUGUAUCUUUUCGGCGUUAGUUUCUGUACAGAAGAUCCUUUUGCAUGCCCUAACCCAUGCCAUGUGCCUGUGCUGCGCGUGCAGUGGAAGAUGCUCGGCGUGCUCGCCAUCGAGGCGGCGUUCAUGGCUGCCGUGGUGGCCGGUGUGCUCGUCGGCGCCCACACCCAUGAGAAGCGCUCCAUGAUCGUAGGCAUCCUCUGUGUCAUCUUCGGCUCCAUCAUGUACGCCUCCCCGCUCACCAUCAUGGGUAAAGUGAUCAGGACCAAGAGUGUGGAGUACAUGCCGUUCUUCCUGUCGCUGGUGAACUUCCUCAAUGGCCUCUGCUGGACGGGCUAUGCACUCAUUAAGUUUGACAUCUACAUCACGAUCCCCAAUGCCCUCGGUACAAUCUUCGGCCUCAUCCAGCUGAUACUGUACUUUUACUACUACAAAUCGACCCCCAGGAAGGGCAAGAACGUUGAACUGCCCACUGUCCUCACCAAAAACGCCGUUACCAGCGGCAACGUCUCGGUCACCGUCGAGAAAUAA